UAGGACUACUUUGGUUAAAGUUUUGCUAAAUUAAAACACAGUGAUGCAUCAUCUUUAAUUUUACUUGAAGCGAUCAAUCCCAUCUUGACUCACACUCAGACUUUACAAGUACUUGACUGUACUUAGAAAUCUUCCAUCAUUGGAUUAAAAAUUUGGAUAGUCCAACACCAAAGCACAGUGAGUUGCUUGCAAGUCACUGAGGCAGCCUC
Molecule: long non-coding RNA, 209 nt
Filed under: Elaeis guineensis (African oil palm)
Lineage: Eukaryota; Viridiplantae; Streptophyta; Magnoliopsida; Arecales; Arecaceae
Description: long non-coding RNA (EGUI_LNC053889)
Source: RNAcentral